UACGUAGGGUGCAAGCGUUGUCCGGAAUUAUUUGGGCGUAAAGAGCUCGUAGGCGGUCUGUCGCGUCGGCUGUGAAAACUCGGGGCUCAACUCCGAGCCUGCAGUCGAUACGGGCAGACUAGAGUGCGGUAGGGGAGACUGGAAUUUCCUGGUGUAGCGGUGAAAUGCGCAGAUAUCAGGAGGAACACCGGUGGCGAAGGCGGGUCUCUUGGGCCGUAACUGACGCUGGAGGAGCGAAAGCAUGGGGAGCGAACAGG
This 257-nucleotide ribosomal RNA is filed under the name uncultured bacterium. RNAcentral's name for it is "partial 16S ribosomal RNA". It matches the Rfam family "Bacterial small subunit ribosomal RNA", at positions 524 to 776 of the family's 1533-position model. The record is from RNAcentral.